RNAcentral lists this ribosomal RNA (541 nucleotides) under uncultured bacterium. RNAcentral's name for it is "bacterial SSU rRNA". It matches the Rfam family "Bacterial small subunit ribosomal RNA", at positions 72 to 594 of the family's 1533-position model. The record is from RNAcentral.
UUUUAUCUUCGGAUAGAUAGUAAACUGGCGAACGGGUGAGUAACGCGUAAAUAACUUGCCUCGGAGAUUGGGACAACAUUGGGAAACCAGUGCUAAUACCAAAUAAUGCAGCGGGCCCUUCGGGGUACAGUUGUUAAAGUAGGCUUCGGCUUACACUUUGAGAUAGAUUUGCGUCCGAUUAGUUAGUUGGUAGGGUAAUAGCCUACCAAGACCGAGAUCGGUAGCUGGUCUGAGAGGAUGAUCAGCCACACUGGAAUUGAGAUACGGUCCAGACUCCUACGGGAGGCAGCAGUGAGGAAUUUUGCACAAUGGGCGAAAGCCUGAUGCAGCAACACCGCGUGAUUGAUGAAGUUUUUAGGAAUGUAAAAAUCUGUCGUAAGUGAAGAAAUGUUUCGGAUGUUAAUACCAUCUGUCAUUGACGGUAACUUACAAGAAAGGACCGGCUAACUUCGUGCCAGCAGCCGCGGUAAUACGAGGGGUCCUAGCGUUGUCCGGAUUUACUGGGCGUAAAGGGUACGUAGGCGUUUUAAUAAGUUAUAUG